Octopus bimaculoides (California two-spot octopus) is the source of this 299-nucleotide long non-coding RNA. The record is from RefSeq and is a predicted model, not a curated record. NCBI's taxonomy places the organism in Eukaryota, Metazoa, Mollusca, Cephalopoda, Octopoda, Octopodidae.
CUGACCGAAUCAUGGUGCGUUCAUUUUCUUGUCUAUAAAAACCAAGUCGAAUCACUUGGCAAAGUACACUUCCGAACGCAUUCUACACAAGAGUUUUCAACGUACAAGGAGGAAUAAUUAAGACUGUGAAAAUGUCUAAGAUUAUCUUGGUUACUGUCCUAGUCGCGUGCUUGGCAAUGAUGGUGUCCGCAAGCCCGGUGAAGGAGACUCGUGCUAUAAAACUUCUGAAGCAAAUACGCUCUACUGUGUUAACUGACGAGCAGAUGGAUGCAGUAUACUCAUUCUUUGACGAGGACAAA